This is a non-coding RNA of Boothiomyces macroporosus, 72 nucleotides long. Lineage: Eukaryota; Fungi; Chytridiomycota; Chytridiomycetes; Rhizophydiales; Terramycetaceae. The record is from the annotation of a GenBank genome assembly.
GAGGGAGUAGCCAAAUGGUAAGGCAAUAGUUUUUGGUACUAUGAUGUAUUGGUUCGAUUCCAAUCUUCCUCU